GAUACAAAAACGCCAAGCUACUGCAUGGAACCACGUGCCACUGGAACAUGUCGUGAAUAUGUCAUUGCUUGGUAUUUUGACCAUACCACAAACAACUGCAAAAUAUUUCUAUAUGGCGGCUGCGGCGGAAAUGAGAACAAGUUUUCUUUAGAAAUGAGGUGCCCGAAGAUGUGCCUCCAUGGAUAUGCCUGCCUUAUCCUCAAGGUCACUGCGGAAGAAAAGGAAACAACGCGUUUGAAUCAUGUGUUGAGUGCAUGAACAGAUGCACCGACAGGAACUCACGUAACGUAUGCAAGAUGGUGGAGAGAAGAAUUUUGGCAAGAGGACGAAACAGGCGUAACCAAACAAGGACGAACAAAUUUUCGUAACAGGCCUUGCCAGCUGUUAAACGAAAGAAGCUUGCAGGUCAGAAGGAAGUCGGCAGGGAGAAUGGAACAAUUUUCAAUGUGCAAAUGCUCUGCAGAUGGCUGCCCGGUAUUGUAAGCGCGAAACCUUCGCAACGCCAACUUUCUGCGUGAUGCAUUUGAAUGAGAAGGACAUUCGGACUCCAGAGCGGGCUAUUUUAAAAGCAUUAAAAAGACAAAUAAAUGCUAUCACUA
Molecule: long non-coding RNA, 599 nt
Organism: Rhipicephalus sanguineus (brown dog tick)
Lineage: Eukaryota; Metazoa; Arthropoda; Arachnida; Ixodida; Ixodidae
Exons: 3
Source: RefSeq, a predicted model, not a curated record